AACGAACGCUGGCGGCAUGCCUAACACAUGCAAGUCGAACGAGACCUUCGGGUCUAGUGGCGCACGGGUGCGUAACGCGUGGGAACCUGCCCUUAGGUUCGGAAUAACUCCCCGAAAGGGGUGCUAAUACCGGAUAAUGUCUUCGGACCAAAGAUUUAUCGCCUUUGGAUGGGCCCGCGUUGGAUUAGCUAGUUGGUAGGGUAAAAGCCUACCAAGGCGACGAUCCAUAGCUGGUCUGAGAGGAUGAUCAGACACACUGGGACUGAGACACGGCCCAGACUCCUACGGAAGGGAGCAGUGGGGAAUAUUGGAGGAUGGGCGAAGGCCUGAUCCAGCAAUGCCGCGUGAGUGAUGAAGGCCUUAGGGUUGUAAUGCUCUUUUACCCGGGAUGAUAAUGACAGUACCGGGAGAAUAAGCUCCGGCUAACUCCGUG
RNAcentral lists this ribosomal RNA (433 nucleotides) under uncultured bacterium. RNAcentral's name for it is "partial 16S ribosomal RNA". It matches the Rfam family "Bacterial small subunit ribosomal RNA", at positions 29 to 507 of the family's 1533-position model. The record is from RNAcentral.